RNAcentral lists this transfer RNA (66 nucleotides) under Dascillus cervinus (orchid beetle). RNAcentral's name for it is "tRNA-Phe". The record is from RNAcentral. Lineage: Eukaryota; Metazoa; Arthropoda; Insecta; Coleoptera; Dascillidae.
ACUUAAAUAGCUUAUUUGAGAGCGUGGUAUUGAAGAUACCAAGGAAAUAAUUUUUAUUUUUGAGUG